AGCAGCCGCGGUAAUACGGGGGGUGCAAGCGUUAAUCGGAAUUAUUGGGCGUAAAGCGCGCGCAGGCGGUUCACAUAGUCGGGUGGUUAAGCUCGGGGCUCAACCCCGAGUCACACCGGAAACUGGUGGACUUGAGUGCAGAAGAGGAGAGUGGAAUUCCACGUGUAGCGGUUAAAUGCGUAGAGAUGUGGAGGAACACCAGUGGCGAAGGCGACUCUCUGGACUGUAACUGACGCUGAGGCGCGAAAGCGUGGGGAGCAAA
Molecule: ribosomal RNA, 262 nt
Filed under: uncultured bacterium
Lineage: Bacteria
Description: partial 16S ribosomal RNA
Rfam family: Bacterial small subunit ribosomal RNA
Source: RNAcentral